CUCUUCCUGGGGCUCAGCGUCGGAGUCUCAGCGCCCUGCAGACACGGAGGCUGGGGCUUCUUGGCCUCAGGCACGUGAGUGAAGAAGGACGCUGACGAGGCCGUCAGUCUGGUGGGAUCGGCGCAGGGGCCCGGGAACCCAGAGGAAGGAGGAGGACAGACCCUUGAACCCUGACCUCUUUGUGUUUUCAUACCUGCUUUGGAUGUCAUGUGGCCUGUGCUUUGGACCGUGGUGCGUACCUAUGCUCCCUAUGUCACAUUCCCUGUGGCCUUUGUGGUCGGGGCUGUGGGCUACCACCUGGAAUGGUUCAUCAGAGGGAAGGAUCCCCAGCCUGUGGAGGAGGAGAAGAGCAUCUCAGAGCGCCGGGAGGACCGCAAGCUGGAUGAGCUGCUAGGCAAGGACCACACCCAGGUGGUGAGCCUUAAGGACAAGCUGGAAUUUGCCCCUAAAGCUGUCCUGAACAGAAACCGACCGGAGAAGAAUUAACGAAGGACACAGGGCCCUAUGGGUCCUUCAGUGGGCCUUGUCUGGCCCUGCCACCAUGUCGACCCAGCUCUAGAACCCACAUCUGAUUUGCUUUAUUGCUUCUGGCCCCUCUCGCCCCACACAGCCACACACUCUGGCUGCUCUGCUGCGGCCAGGCAGACGCGCUGGUAGCUGAGGGGCCAGUGAAGAGGAAGGCUCACGAGGGUUCUGACCUGAAAGUUGCAUCUGCUGGUUGGUGGCCACCGCUGCUCAGGCUUCUGCGCUGCUGGGUGCACCACUGGGAGGAGUUAUGAGAUGAACACUGGCUCUCAGUCCCUUCGGGGAAGCAGUUCGGCCCCAAGGGGGAGUGGCUGGGAUUGGGGGUUGUCUUUAGGAGGGAUACCUACAUGUCUAGUUCCAGUUCGCACUGGGAGGAGGUCACAGAUCUGCCUGGCUUGCCCUGUCCUUUGUGCUCAUUCUCCCUCCAGUCCUGGCCUAGCACUCAGGCAGGGAUUCCCCUGGGAAGGAAAGCCCUUUUGUUCUUGGGAGCCCAGGCUGUUCACCUUGGGGCAUGUGACUUCGCUUGAAAACAGUCACUACCUUUCACCCCCCCAUCACUGUUCAGAGCAAAACUUGAUUAAAGUGGUGUCUGAGAACCAUAUUGAUCUAAUCCUAUCUUCCAGGUGGUGUUGGGGUCUCCUUAGAGUUAUGCAAGUGCAGGUGACUCCAGGUAGGAAAACGCUGGCCUUUAACUGAGUAAGGACUUCGGGGCCAUAGAAACUUUGUUUUACUAACAUGGUUGUACUGGGUCCCAGAGGCACCCGUUCCCAAGAGCCUUUUUAUCAUGAUAACAAGAGGCUUAUAGGACCUUUCAAAGUCUAAAUUAGAGGAGCCCAGGAAGCUGAACAAUUGUUGUCAGUUUACCAAUUUCAUGCACGUACGUAUACACACAUAUAGUUUUCCCGGUGAAAGUAGUAUUUGUACAUUAAAGAACAUUUGGUAGGGAUUUAAAAAAAAUGGUUACCCAAGAGAUCCCUCCAUUGCAUAGUGGGUUAAUAAUCCGGCUCAUCUCAUGGUGUUGCUAGGUCAAUGCCUGAUGCAGUGGUUUAAGGAUCUGGUGUUGCAGCUGUAGCCUAGGUUGUAGAUGUGGCUCGGAUUUGAUCCUGUGGCCCAGGAACUUUAUAUGCUGUGGGUGCAGCCAAAAAUGGGGAAAACAAAAACAAAAAACCCAAACAGAUAGUUAUCCACACUCUGAGGGCCCAUUUACAGCUAAAAAGCUCACAUUUUGGUAUCUUUCACUAAUUCUUGACCUAGUUUUUUGCUUUCUUUCUGAUGGUUAUCAUUACUGUACAUUUAAUUUUAUAUUCUUUUUUCACAUGGUGUUUCACAUCGUAAUCAUUUUCUCAUUUUAUCACAUGGUCUUCAUAGUCCUCAUUGUUUCAACAGCUGUAUAAUUGCCCAUUGAGUGGGAACAUAGCAUAGGUUUUUUGUUUUUUGUUUUUGGCUGUGCUCACGACAUGUGGAAGUUCCCGGGCUAGGGACUGAAUCCACGCCACAGCAGUGACAAUGCCAGAUCCUUAACCCACUGAGCCACCAGGGGACUCGGCAUGGCUUGUUUUUUAAGUUUCCCUGUUGUUAGACAUUUGGAUUGUUUCUGGUUCACUAGAAGAAAUACCACAAAGAGUAUCUUAUAUAAGGAUUCUCCUGCAGUUUGGACUAAAUGGUAGGAACAGUAAAUGGCGUUUUGGAUGAAAUGAGAUGAACAGUUUUAAGGGUCUCGGUGCCUAACACUAAAUGUCUUUCCAAGGGGCUAUAAGAGCUUAUACUAAAUGCUGCCACUUAAGAGUUGUUGGGGAGUUUGGAAGUGGUGAGAGCAGAGAGUGGACCUAUUGCCUGAUGAAGGCGGCUGACCUUUAACCUGAAUGAGCAAAGGCAGGCAAUGAACAUUUGAUGAAGAACAAACUGCUUUAAAAUGGGGGAGGGUGUGUACCCUGCUUCUGACCUCAGGAUCUGGGGUGGGUGAAGAUGGGAUUCCUGAACAGGUAGAGAUGCUGGCUGUGCAGUGGGAGGAGCUAGGGGACAGGGAAGGAGGUAGCCAGAGAUGCAGGGUCAAGUUGAGUUGGUAGCUUCCCCUCAGUUGCGGAGGCCUAGUGGGCAUGUAGAGAUGAGUUGCUGUUGCCUCUCAGGGAAUAAAUCUGAUGGGGAGUGUGGAGCAGCAGUGUCUGCUACCGAAGUAGUGAUGAGGUUUCUGAUUUUGAAAGGAUAUAUUGAGCUCAGCUUGGUCACUUGGUUUUUGAGCUCAGGCUGACGCAGGCCUUAUCGGCAGCCCAGUGCUGCCCCCCUGUGGCAGUCCUGAGUAUGGUCAAGCCUGGGAUCCCUCCGCAGGGCCAAACUGCUAGUAGCAAACUCCCAUGCCUGGAGGGGUUCAGUAAGGUGGCUUAAGAGAGCAGGCCAGGCCAGGAGCUAGGAAGCACAGGCCUGCCUAAAGGGGGCAGUGGCUAUGCAGCUUCUUCCAGUUUGUGCUCCUUGCCUAGAAACACCAGUUUUUCUUUUUUCCCUCUUGAAGAUACUAGACAUUCAGAUUUUUGUGGAUUUUAUUUAUUUAUUUUGGUGUGGAAACUUCCGAUUUUUAAAAGUUGACAGUUUACUUAAAAAAAAAAUUGGAGGAGUUCCCGUCGUGGCGCAGUGAUUAACGAAUCCGACUAGGAACCAUGAGGUUGCGGGUUCGGUCCCUGCCCUUGCUCAGUGGGUUAACGAUCCGACGUUGCCGUGAGCUGUGGUGUAGGUUGCAGACUCGGCUCGGAUCCCGAGUUGCUGUGGCUCUGGUGUAGGCCGGUGGCUACAGCUCCGAUUCAUCCCCUAGCUUGGGAACCUCCAUAUGCCGCGGGAGCGGCCCAACAAAUAGCAACAACAACAACAACAAAAAAAGACAAAAGACAAAAAAAAAAUUGGAGUUCCCUUGUGGUGCAGUGGUGCUGCGGCUUGCAUUGCUGCUGUGGCUCAGGUUCGAUCCUUGGCCUGGGAACUACUUCAUGCUGCUGAUGCAGCGAAAAACAAUAACAAUAGUAAUAAUAAAAAUUCUAAGCAUGCUAACAUACCUAUAGAGGUAAUUUGACCCAGUGGCUGUCAAUUUGCCACCUGUCAAGCUGCCCCUGGCCUUCUAAUGAAAUCUGAGAGAUCUGCAUAGUUUUUAAGCAAUCAAACAACUGUGGCAAAGAUUAGAUCCCAGGACUGGUUUCUUUUGAAACACCUGAGCAUCCUGUGCAUAUGUAGUCUAAUAUCAGCCUAAGCAAAACAUUAGAGGGCAGAAAACCUACAGAAAUAACCCAAAAAAGUUUUCCCACAGACUAAGACAUUUUUGGAUUUUCAGCUAUUUUAGAAUAAGCCUGUCACUGCUGCUGUACUCCUCCCAGUGCCUGGCAGAGGAUGCCCUAUCUUUGGAAAUCCAAGUUGCCCCAUUUUUCCAGUCUCACUUUGUGUCCCCUUUAAAUAAUUUUAUUUCCUAGGGCUUGCCCUCACUGAAUGUCUGCCUCCGGCAAGUCUAUUAAUAUUCUCAGUGGCUUUUCUUUCCCAAGGGCUGGCUGAGCCCUGCUUCUGCUGUGGGGCUGUGAGAUAGUGCAUGCUUUCUUGUCUCUGCUCCGGAGACCUCAGGUAGCAGGGCUUCUGAGGCUGUGGCAAAGGCAGGCCAGGCUUGCUGAAACAAACCCAGGCACGGACCAGUUUGCUUCCAUAGCUGCUGAUUCACCUUGGAGGCAUGUGACCCUCUUUGGGAUCAGCCCAACAGUCACAUUAACACUGAGAUGUGCUUGGGGCUUUUUGCUUGGCACUCACCCCCACCCCAUCUCUUCUCGGCCUGAUGCUGGCGGUCAGAGCCUGUUAUCCUAUCUGAGCACGGCAGGAAUCACUUCUCUGCCCUCAGCCGCCCCGUGUCUGGUGCUUUUCCACUCUCUCCUGAGCCUUUCCUGUGCCUGUUGCUGUGUUAGCACAAGUCAGCUGGGCAGCUGCCAGGACAAGCCUUCUAGGGGGCCCUUUGACUGCUGUCAGCUUCCCAGGGCCCUGGGCUGGUGAGGCCGCCAGCAGAGCAAAAAACUCCAUGGGAUUAGCCUCCCCAGAGUCACUUGAGGGCCAGGCAGUGGAAACAAAAAGGCUUAUGCCUUUUGCCUUACUUUUCUUUUUCCCCUCAGGUCUCUAGGCACUUGUCGAGUGGGGAGCCGGGGCUGUGUGGUAGAGUAAAAAUAAAGUGGGUGCUAGAGGCUGGCAGACUUGUGAGUACUGCUUCCACAGGUAGCUGAGUGACUUUGGGCAGGUCACAUAGCCUUUCCGAGCCUCAGUUAUCCUCAUUCGUAAAACUGGGAUAAGAAUACCUUCUUUUUUUGUUUUUUUUUUUGUUUGGUUUUUUUUUUUUUUUUUGGUUUUUUAGGGCCACACCUGCAGUAUGUGGAGGUUCCCAGGCUAGGGGUCGAAUCGAAGCUGCAGCUGCUGGCCUGGACCACAGCCACAGCAAUGCUAGAUCCCAGCAAUGCCUGCGACCUGUGCUGCAGCUCAAGGCAGUGCUGGAUCCUUAAUCUACUGAGUGAGGUUAGGGCUCGAACCCACAUCCUCAUGGAUGCUAGUCGGAUUCUUAACCUGCUGAGCCACAGUGGGAACUCAAGAAUACCUGUUUUUUGCUGGGUUGUUGCAAAGCUAAGGUAACAUGUAAAGUUCUCAGCAGAGUCCAUGGCAGCAAGUAGGUGCCCAAUAAGUGUGUUGGCUGCUUUAGUUUUAUUGUAGGAAAAAGUUGCAUGUAACCCUGUGAUCCUGGGGAGGUAGGGAUCUGGAGGAGGGAGCCUUGGCUGGGAGAGUGCUCAUAGGUGCCGUCACAGGCCUAGUGAUUGAGGGCUUCUUAGGAGUAUUUUACAGGAAGGACCAGCUGGCGGCGGCGGGAGUGCAGGCUUAGACCUGUGUUACUAGGUUGUCCCCUUGCCAGUGCUAUCCCAAAGUUGGAGAUGAGAAGUGGGGAGCAAGGCGUGGGGAAUGGCCCUAGAGUGCCCCACUUCAGAAUGGGUGGAGGAGAGAGCUUUGGAGUUGGAGACCAGUGAACACGGUGGCCUGGAACAGGCCCCUUCACCUCUCUGGCUUUGGUGUCCCCACUUGCAAAAUGGGGAUACGGAUGUGCUCUGAGGUGUAGUGUAAAAAGAAUGAGAGGCCAGCUUAGCCAGUGCUCCAAAAACAUGCAGGUGCUGUUCUGUCCUGUAAAAUCUUGCUUUUACCGAAUCAGAAUGGCAGCCAGUCUGAAUAACGGCAUAGACAUAAAUGCUCCUUUAUUCUUUUUCUGAACAGUCUCUCAAACUAUUUGCUAAAGUAAAAAUGUUUGGGGAAUCAGCUUUACAAGUAAAGAGGAUAAUCACAGUGUAUCAUUUUGCAUCCUGUUCCAGCAGUACCUUGAGAUGCUUAAAAAUAGUUUAUUCUUUUUGAGCUAAGUUUGUUAACAUUAGUUAUCUGUUUACCACAUCUUUUUAUAUCAUGCAGAGAUAAACCAUGGCUUGUUUUUUGUUUAAAAA
RNAcentral lists this long non-coding RNA (6005 nucleotides) under Sus scrofa (pig). RNAcentral's name for it is "lncRNA (ENSSSCG00035015535.1)". The record is from RNAcentral. Lineage: Eukaryota; Metazoa; Chordata; Mammalia; Artiodactyla; Suidae.